UGGGGAAUAUUGCACAAUGGGCGCAAGCCUGAUGCAGCCAUGCCGCGUGUGUGAAGAAGGCCUUCGGGUUGUAAAGCACUUUCAGCGAGGAGGAAGGUGGUGAGCUUAAUACGCUCAUCAAUUGACGUUACUCGCAGAAGAAGCACCGGCUAACUCCGUGCCAGCAGCCGCGGUAAUACGGAGGGUGCAAGCGUUAAUCGGAAUUACUGGGCGUAAAGCGCACGCAGGCGGUUUGUUAAGUCAGAUGUGAAAUCCCCGGGCUCAACCUGGGAACUGCAUUUGAAACUGGCAAGCUAGAGUCUCGUAGAGGGGGGUAGAAUUCCAGGUGUAGCGGUGAAAUGCGUAGAGAUCUGGAGGAAUACCGGUGGCGAAGGCGGCCCCCUGGACGAAGACUGACGCUCAGGUGCGAAAGCGUGGGGCAGCAAACAGGAUUAGAUACCCUGGUAGUCACGCUGUAAACGAUGUCGAUUUUGGAGGUUGUGCCCUUGAGGCGUGGCUUCCGGAGCUAACGCGUUAAAUCGACCGCCUGGGGAGUACGGCCGCAAGGUUAAAACUUAAAUGAAUUGACGGGGUC
Molecule: ribosomal RNA, 574 nt
Filed under: uncultured bacterium
Lineage: Bacteria
Description: partial 16S ribosomal RNA
Rfam family: Bacterial small subunit ribosomal RNA
Source: RNAcentral